GAGCGCGUGAAGCCGUGAACCCUAGCCGCCGCCUCUGCAUGUGCAUCUGCUGCCGCCUGCCGUCGUGCACUCGCGCUCGGCCGCUUGCCCAGUCCGCCGCGCGCCGCGCCCCGUCCGCCGUCCUGUCGCCCGCACGCCGUGCAAACACUGAGACACCCACUCGCCCAGCCCAAUCCGCCGAGCGCCGAGCCGACGCCGCCCAAUCUGCCGAGCGCCGAGCCGACGCCGCCCAGUCCGCCGCGCCGCCCUGGCGACUGGGCGCCACCGCCGAGCUCAUCUGUCAAUCUGUCAUCUCCCCUCGGCCCUCACGUCGUCCGUUGAGAACUUGAAAUAGCAGAUACAAUACAAGGAGCUAGUAAGGCAAUAACAAUCAAAAUGAAUAUUAUUAAAACUGAGUUGCGGAAUAAGACAGGAGACGAAUGGCUCAACAUUAUCUUUCAAGUCACGUUCUUAAUAUAAUUUCCUUCAAGGUUCUGGAGCAAGAAGCACUAUUGUUGAUGUUGAUAUGAUACUUUUGAAAGGGGCUACAUCAUAACUUGUAUGUCAUCUUUAACAUAUAUAACAAUAUUGUUUCAC
Molecule: unclassified non-coding RNA, 576 nt
Filed under: Zea mays
Lineage: Eukaryota; Viridiplantae; Streptophyta; Magnoliopsida; Poales; Poaceae
Description: misc RNA Zm00001eb247600
Source: RNAcentral